CAAAUGGUGAUUGACAACAUGAUAGGUGAGAAUUCGUGUAAGGAAACUGUACAAAGCUUUGGAAGAGGAUGCUUUCAGGCCUGUUUUGCACCACUAUGAUGGUCCCAAGUUUCGACUCGAGCUCACCAUUCCUGAGACACUUGCCCUGCUGGAUCUCUGUGAACAAGCUGGUUCUCCCUAAGCUCAAAGCCCUUGCAGAUCCUAUUUACAUCUGGGAAUUAGUGUCUGCUUAUUCCAAGGCUUCAAGUGUGUAUUUGUAUGUGUGCUUUCUACAUAAAAGUAGAAACUAAGAAUGUCUCACUGGAAAAUAAACCAUGAUUGUGAAAGAUUCAUGUGCCACAAAUGUGUUCAUAUAUAAUCAUAAAACUAGAAUGAUCAUCACAUCUCCUUGCAAAAAUAUAUUGUUUAUGAGUC
Molecule: non-coding RNA, 414 nt
Organism: Camelina sativa (false flax)
Lineage: Eukaryota; Viridiplantae; Streptophyta; Magnoliopsida; Brassicales; Brassicaceae
Source: RefSeq, a predicted model, not a curated record